Molecule: long non-coding RNA, 325 nt
Filed under: Vigna radiata
Lineage: Eukaryota; Viridiplantae; Streptophyta; Magnoliopsida; Fabales; Fabaceae
Description: long non-coding RNA (VRAD_LNC005473)
Source: RNAcentral
GUCAUCUUCUCUAGUUUUCUCUCCUUCGAAUUUGUUUUCCCCCAGGUAAUAAAAUGGAUUUUGUUGUUAAUAUCAAGUCUUCUCUGGAGUCGUCGGGUCGCGGUGGCAGUGGCAGUGGAGUGGCGAGUGAGAGUGAAGGCAGCCGGUCUGGGAGUUCGUCCUCUUCAGGUUCCAGCUAUGACGCACCUACCCCUGAGGAGUUUCCUCCCGCCGAAGCGAUUCCUUUGGCGGUUCCUGAGCCUCGCCGGGCAGUGGCUCCCCCGGGCACCGAACUGCCUGCAGCCAAUGCCGACCGUAUCUUUUAAGGAACCCCCUUAUUUUUAAC